This 401-nucleotide ribosomal RNA is filed under the name uncultured bacterium. RNAcentral describes it as "bacterial SSU rRNA". It matches the Rfam family "Bacterial small subunit ribosomal RNA", at positions 28 to 419 of the family's 1533-position model. The record is from RNAcentral.
GAUGAACGCUGGCGGCGUGCUUAACACAUGCAAGUCGAGCGAAGCACCUUGAAGUUUUCGGACUAAGAGGUGACUGAGCGGCGGACGGGUGAGUAACGCGUGGGUAACCUGCCUCAUACAGGGGGGUAACAGUUAGAAAUGACUGCUAAUACCGCAUAAGCGCACAGGGCCGCAUGGUCCGGUGUGAAAAACUCCGGUGGUGUAAGAUGGACCCGCGUCUGAUUAGGUAGUUGGUGGGGUAACGGCCCACCAAGCCGACGAUCAGUAGCCGACCUGAGAGGGUGACCGGCCACAUUGGGACUGAGACACGGGCCCAAACUCCUACGGGAGGCAGCAGUGGGGAAUAUUGGACAAUGGGCAAAGCCUGAUCCAGCGACGCCGCGUGAGUGAAGAAGUAUUUC